RNAcentral lists this ribosomal RNA (460 nucleotides) under uncultured bacterium. Its description in RNAcentral is "partial 16S ribosomal RNA". It matches the Rfam family "Bacterial small subunit ribosomal RNA", at positions 338 to 795 of the family's 1533-position model. The record is from RNAcentral.
CCUACGGGUGGCAGCAGUGAGGAAUAUUGGUCAAUGGCCGGAAGGCUGAACCAGCCAUGCCGCGUGAAGGUCAGUGCCCUAUGGGCGUUAAACUUCUUUUGUGCGGGAGCAAUAAUGGUCACGUGUGGCCAGACGAGAGUACCGUACGAAUAAGCAUCGGCUAACUCCGUGCCAGCAGCCGCGGUUAUACGGGGGAUGCAAGCGUUAUCCGGAUUUAUUGGGUUUAAAGGGUGCGUAGGCUGGGAUGUAAGUCAGCGGUGAAAUGCCCCCGCUCAACGGGGUGAAGUGCCAUUGAUACUGCCUGGCUGGAAUGCGGAUGCCGUGUGAGGAAUGUGUGGUGUAGCGGUGAAAUGCAUAGAUAUCACACAGAACACCGAUUGCGAAGGCAUCUCACGAAUCCGCGAUUGACGCUGAUGCACGAAAGCGUGGGUAUCAAACAGGAUUAGAUACCCUAGUAGUC